RNAcentral lists this ribosomal RNA (497 nucleotides) under uncultured bacterium. Its description in RNAcentral is "partial 16S ribosomal RNA". It matches the Rfam family "Bacterial small subunit ribosomal RNA", at positions 28 to 507 of the family's 1533-position model. The record is from RNAcentral.
GAUGAACGCUGGCGGCGUGCCUAAUACAUGCAAGUCGAGCGAACGGACGAGAAGCUUGCUUUUCUGAUGUUAGCGGCGGACGGGUGAGUAACACGUGGAUAACCUGCCUAUAAGACUGGGAUAACUUCGGGAAACCGGAGCUAAUACCGGAUAAUAUUUUGAACCGCAUGGUUCAAAAGUGAAAGACGGUCUUGCUGUCACUUAUAGAUGGAUCCGCGCUGCAUUAGCUAGUUGGUAAGGUAACGGCUUACCAAGGCAACGAUGCAUAGCCGACCUGAGAGGGUGAUCGGCCACACUGGAACUGAGGCACGGUCCAGACUCCUACGGGAGGCAGCAGUAGGGAAUCUUCCGCAAUGGGCGAAAGCCUGACGGAGCAACGCCGCGUGAGUGAUGAAGGUCUUCGGAUCGUAAAACUCUGUUAUUAGGGAAGAACAUAUGUGUAAGUAACUGUGCACAUCUUGACGGUACCUAAUCAGAAAGCCACGGCUAACUACGUC